RNAcentral lists this long non-coding RNA (353 nucleotides) under Brassica napus (rape). RNAcentral's name for it is "long non-coding RNA (BNAP_LNC020885)". The record is from RNAcentral. Lineage: Eukaryota; Viridiplantae; Streptophyta; Magnoliopsida; Brassicales; Brassicaceae.
AGAGAUUUGAAACCACUUAAAGCAUUUCUUUUUAAUUUUUGGUUAAAAAGCAUUUGACAACUUGUCAUAGAUGUAUAAAAUGCAAAAUAUUGAAUAAAAGUGUCUUUGAUAAAGGAGGUAUGCAACUUUGAGUUUGACAAAGUGUAGCUUCAACACGAAGAAACUGAGAUCAUUUAGAAAGAAUAAAAGCAAAACCUAGCUCCUCCUUAAAUCCAUUAGAUAUAGAAAAUCAUUUGUAGUCAACUUCGAAAUCGAUUAUGAGUGAUGACUUUGAACUUUUCAAUAUAUUUAUUUGAUUUGUCGACAAAAAAAAUACCUAAGUUAAUUCUGUAAACUAGAAUGCUUUUUUUUUU